GUGAAGGCUUGGCACUCUGGCGCUGCUGAAUUAAUUGGUCGUCUUAUAAUAAAUCCUGACAAUGAACCUUUCCUACUUCCUUUUGCUUCACAGAUAUAUACACGUUUGGUCGAUAUAAUGAGCUCUCCACCAACUGAUGCUCAAGCAGCUGCUGUAGGUGCAUUAUAUAACCUUGCAGAGAUAAAUAUGGACUGUCGUUUAAAGCUGGCCAGUGAGCGAUGGGCAAUUGAUCGCCUGUUGAAAGUGAUCAAGAUGCCACAUCCAGUACCAGAAAUUUGCAGAAAAGCAGCAACUAUUUUGGAAAACCUUGUGUUGGAGCCGCAGAACAAGCCCCUCCUCCUAUCCUAUGAAAAUGCGUUUGCGGAAAUGCUCUUCGGGGAUCCAAGGUACUCAGACAUAUUCGCGAGGAUAUUAUAUGAACUAACAU
This 427-nucleotide unclassified non-coding RNA is filed under the name Hevea brasiliensis (rubber tree). The record is from RNAcentral. Lineage: Eukaryota; Viridiplantae; Streptophyta; Magnoliopsida; Malpighiales; Euphorbiaceae.